This 421-nucleotide ribosomal RNA is filed under the name uncultured bacterium. Its description in RNAcentral is "partial 16S ribosomal RNA". It matches the Rfam family "Bacterial small subunit ribosomal RNA", at positions 360 to 773 of the family's 1533-position model. The record is from RNAcentral.
AAUGUUGGACAAUGGGGGCACCCCUGCUCCAGCCAUGCCGCGUGUGUGAAGAAGGUCUUCGGAAUGUAAAGCACUUUCAGUUGGGCGGAAGGGCAGUAAGUUAAUACCUUGCUGUAUUGACGUUACCGACAGAGUAAGCACCGGCUGACUUCGUGCCAGCAGCCGCGGUAAUCCGAAGGGUUCAACGGUUAAUCGGAAUUACUGGGCGUAAAGCGCGCGGAGGUGGGUCAGUAAGAUGAGUGGGAAAACCCCGGGGUUAACCUGGGAGCUUCUUUCAUAAAUGCUGAGCUAGAGUACGGUAGAGGGUAGUGGAAAUUCCUGUGUAGGGGUGAAAUGCGUAGAUAUAGGAAGGAACACCAGUGGCGAAGGCGACUACCUGGACUGAGACUGACACUGAGGUGCGAAAGCGUGGGGAGCAAAC